This is a long non-coding RNA of Nanorana parkeri, 106 nucleotides long. RefSeq lists it as uncharacterized. The record is from RefSeq and is a predicted model, not a curated record. NCBI's taxonomy places the organism in Eukaryota, Metazoa, Chordata, Amphibia, Anura, Dicroglossidae. The transcript has 3 exons.
UCCUCCCGGCUCCGAAUCCACCUCUUCCUCCUCCGCGGGGUCCGCCCCUUCCUCCUCCACGGGGUCCGCCCCUUCCACCUGCAGGGGAAUUGAAGGCCCCUCGAAA